UACAGAUUAGCCUGGCAAACUGAACAUUUUUAGGAAGGGCUGUUAUGUCACUGUGUUGCCAAAAUUAGAGAAACUAUGUAGGAAGCAAUUAGCUACUGUAGCUUCUCCCUACUUAAAAUGAUUAUUCAGGGCUAUAUUGUAAUAUGCAGUUGGUCAUACCAAUUCAGUAUGUAACUGUUGGCAUUAAAAACACCAUUUAUUCAAUCUCAACUUCAAAAAAUCAAAUUGAGUGGAGAGAAAUAACAGUUCUUUUCUUGACCCAUUCUCCAUUUAUACUCCCAUUUGAUGCUCAACACGCAGCUUUGUUGCACAUAUUGUAUGAGUGUCCUCCAUAAUUAAAGCUUUAUUUGAACCUCCCCCCUCCUUCCCACAUCACUCUUGGUUAGAUCAAAACAGUAGAGACAAAAACUGGAACAUGCCUGGGGUGCAGAAGGAGAGAAGAGAGACUAUUUAACGAAGCAGGCUAAUGGUGGUGAGAAGGAAGGGGGUUGAUUUUCACAUGUCAGAACUGUUGAGCCUACAAAUAUUACUGAAAUCACAUCUGGGAACAAUGCUCCGCUUUAAGUUCACCCAUGAAUGUUGCUAAGCAAUGGAGAAAAGACAAGGGAGAGGGAGAGUGCCUGACUUUAGGAUUAGAAGGAUAGAUAGGAGGUGUAAAAGGAAGGCUUCUACACAGCCUUAUUUAUACGAACUUUCAAGUUCUUUGCUUUAUUGCCUGUCUUCCAAAUAAUUUGUACUAUAAUUAAUCUGAUUUGGUACAGUAUUUAUACCAAUGCAUACCCAGCACACAGAGAGUUGAGCUGCAUCCUGGAGCACUGGCACAAGCAGCAACGCACCAGAACUGUCAACAUCUGUCUCUGGAUUAAACAGCAAGGAAGGUGAGAAGAAAUCUUUCCUAUCAGCAGCAGCAGGGGUUGCUGCAGGAAGAUGAUAAUUCCCUCCUGCUACUCUGCUGACAACAACCAAGCUUCACAAGGAGGAGCAAGGCAUUUUAAUUAUGGAAUUGAAAACCACCGCCGUUUCUAAAGCUUCACCUCUACUUGGUUGAUUACAUUAAUUUAGGAUGAACUGGCUUACAGUGGAAUUAUGUAUUGAAGAUAAGGGAAGAAGAAAUCAGUGUAAUAUCUAGUUUGUCUGUGCAUAAGAGUCAGUGUGUCUAUGUAUAUAAAUACUUUUGGAGCAUCCUGGAUAAGCAGGGGCUGCUGAAUUCCUCAAAAGCACAGUGCAAACUUGAGGGCUCCCUAAUUGCACAGGAAGUGUUUUCUAAAUGCUGUACUUGAAGGUACACAGGAUUAAAUGGAAAAGGUGAAAAAUAUUAACAACUGGCCAGUCAGGGUCCAAUCCAAUGCCUGCUGAAGUCAUCAGAAAACCUGUGGCAGAAGCCUAGAGGUUUUGGCUGCGGCUCUGUCAUCAGGUUAUCAUUAUAACAAAGGCAGCCCAUAACAGACUGCUAAAAUAAAUGCAAAUUUUGUGUCAAAGACAGUCAGGCACCCCCAAAAUUAACAAUUUGAGCACACAGCAGCUUACAGGCAGCAGCUUUGGGCAUGUGGCACAACAUCUGUUACAAAAACACUAGAAAGCAGACCUGCGGCAAAUUGGACCACUGCCAGCUCUCAAGAUCUCCCCCCCCGCCAAGGCUGUCAAGUAAAUGGACAGAUGGCAGCCAACGCACUCACAGGAUAGUUAGCUCGGUUAACAAUCAAGUAUGCUAAGUGAUUUCAGAUCCACUCUGCACCAGGCACUGUAUUUUCUAUUGAAUCAUUAACACUAUGUCCUAAUAGGACUAUAGUUUGGUAUUAAGAAACUGGCAGAUACUGUAUUUUGCAAGACAGUUUCUCUGGAACAAUUUGUCAGGGAACAUCAGAUCUGCCUUCAUGAAUAAAGUCAGAAUCUGCCAAGUUUACUGGGCUACUCUGUUCAUAAUUUUAAUUCUACAGUAUUUGAAGAACAGGGUUGGAAGCAAGCAUUAAAAAUGCAGGUCAGUUAACAGCACAAGCUGCUCCCACAGAUGCAUUCAGCUGAAAGAGCAGAGUAGAUGUUAACAGCACACAGGAUAUCUUAUCACAGCGGCUCUUCUGGCUGCCUGGUGUGGUACAUCACACCGAGCUCUCCUGGACAGGAGCCUAUGGUGAGUCUAUGAACAUUACACAGAUCUUCUGUUAGCUUUCUCUUUCUAUUAUGACACUGGUUUUCUUCAGAGAUGUUUAUAGGGCAUCCCUAUAGUUAUACUACGAAAAUUGGCAGUAGCAGCCAAGAACUCAUACGCCCUGCUUUUCCAUUUCAGACACAGGAAGGUGUUAAAAAUGUUUCGGGUGACAGGCCCAAGAACUCUGCCAUGGCAUUGAACUCCUUAGCUGCAUGCUCUGUGGGGCUUUCCUCUCUCUUGAAAAGGACAACUGAAUGAUGCAACUACUCUCGUGUGUGAUCACCAGAGCAGGGAAGCCAGAGAUACAAUUUAAACCAAAAACCAAAAGUGCAAACCUGUCAAAAACGGAGACAGGGAAACAACCGCUUUUUCUGGCUCAACUUUAUGAAAAUCUGAUUAGACCUUAGUGAAAGUUAAUCUUUGCCUUCCAGACCUUGGUAAAAAAAAAAAAAAAAAGAAAAAAAAAAAAGAAAAAAUGUUUUGAUGUCAUAGGAUCAAGAGGAGAGACACCAUUCAACUGUAGGAAAAUAGAUGCAAAGCAAUUUGUUUCCUUGGCACCAAUCACCUGGUAAAUGUGGCAAAAUGCCAUGAAAAAGUUCUGCUUCAAAGUUACUCAUUGGAAAUUAGCAAAGCCCAAGUUCCAGUCUUGUUUUUUACUCACAGGGUCCACACUUGCCUCUUAUCUGUCUCCUUCUAAUAUCUGUCCUAUGCCAUCUCAUGAGAAAAUCACAAAAGAGAGUUUUUUGGCUUUCCUCAAAAUGUUUUACUGUCAUGGACAGAUAACACAUGGUAUCAUUAGUCCAGAAAGAGGCAACUAUAGAGUGCUACUUUCUGGGUGUGAUUAGGCAUUCACAGAUCAACAGAAAGCUUUCGCUGGGGAGAAAGGGAAGGGCUUUUUGUCAGGUUUUUUCCCCAUCUGUCAGCUCAGCAGCAGUGAUGGUACCAAAUGAAGUCUUUCUGCUCAUUCAGCAUCUGUAGUCUAAUAUUUGCCAAGAGUUUGAUCUUGACCUUUUGGUUUGUGCCUACAGUACCCAGGAUUCCCAGGUGGUCUCACAGCCAAACAUGAGUUUAGUUCAGGAUUGCUGAGCUUGCAGAAUCAGACCACCAUAGACUAUGUUUUGUUGCUACAGUGUUUAGUAGCAAAAUCUAGAAUGCUCAUAUGUCUUAGAUUCUUCCUUUACUCUGCUUACAGUCCAAUAAGAUUGUAUUUUGAUGCUUUGAGGAAAUAAAUCAAGCAAUUCUUAUCAAAACACAGCAAUCUGGGAAAUUAAAAAUGCAAAGAAAAACCACAGAUGAACAGGUGGUAAAAUUGUGUUUAUCUUUUUUUUUUUUUGUCUAGUUAUCUAAUAUUCCAGCCAUCCCAAACUACUUCAUUUUUACCUUACAUAAUGCUGGACAAAGUGAAACAUCCAGAAAACACCAUAAGAAAUACAAUUUUAAGGCCAAUCCUAAUUAUGGAUGUGCAGGUCUAAAAUAAUUGUAGACAAUAUGCACACAUUAAGGUCAAAAACUAAAGAACGAUAUAUAUAUCUAGGAGUUCAAUUUUUACGUGCAUUCUUUCUGCCAUACCCUUAUUGUUGCCUGUAAAGUCCUCCACUUAUUAAUUCCAUGAUUCAUACAAUCACGCAACAAAAGCAUUAUGUUUAUGUUACAUAUGGUUGUGUAGCAGAAUGUCUGUAGAAUAAAGUACACUGAUUUAAAUCAUAUUUUAAUCAUGCAAUUAAAGAUUCAACAAUAAUAUUGCAAUUACAAUACUUGUAAAAUGCAUCUAUGUGGAAAGCUAGAAAGUUGGAAUGAACAUGACAGCCUGAUCCCUUGUUGUACAGGUGUACAAUAAUUCUUAAUCUGUUCUCGCCUGGGCAGGUAAGAGGUUGUGUCCUAUUCAAGAUUAAUUAAAAGGAACACUUGUUUCUUCUGAAUGAUGUCAUGUCUAGUAACAUACAUAAAUUUAAUUCACAUCAGUAUUGGC
Long non-coding RNA from Strigops habroptila (Kakapo), 4115 nucleotides. RefSeq lists it as uncharacterized. The record is from RefSeq and is a predicted model, not a curated record. The transcript has 2 exons. NCBI's taxonomy places the organism in Eukaryota, Metazoa, Chordata, Aves, Psittaciformes, Psittacidae.